CCUACGGGCGGCAGCAGUGAGGAAUAUUGGUCAAUGGUCGGGAGACUGAACCAGCCAAGCCGCGUGAGGGAUGAAGGUACAGAGUAUCGUAAACCUCUUUUGUCAGGGAACAAAGGCGGGGACGCGUCCCCGGAUGAGUGUACCUGAAGAAAAAGCAUCGGCUAACUCCGUGCCAGCAGCCGCGGUAAUACGGGGGAUGCGAGCGUGAUCCGGCUUUAUUGGGUUUAAAGGGUGCGCCGGCGGUCUGUUAAGUGAGCGGUCAAAGCCCGGGGCUCAAACCCGGCCCGCCGUUGAAACUGGCAGUCGCGAGUUGGAGAGAAGUAUGCGGAAUGCGCGGUGUAGCGGUGAGAGGCAGAGAUAUCGCGCAGAACUCCGAUUGCGAAGGCAGCAUGCCGGCUCCACACUGACGCUGAGGCACGAAAGCGUGGGUAUCGAACAGGAUUAGAUACCCCAGUAGUC
RNAcentral lists this ribosomal RNA (459 nucleotides) under uncultured bacterium. RNAcentral's name for it is "partial 16S ribosomal RNA". It matches the Rfam family "Bacterial small subunit ribosomal RNA", at positions 338 to 795 of the family's 1533-position model. The record is from RNAcentral.